Molecule: ribosomal RNA, 1479 nt
Filed under: Campylobacter jejuni
Lineage: Bacteria; Pseudomonadati; Campylobacterota; Epsilonproteobacteria; Campylobacterales; Campylobacteraceae
Description: partial 23S ribosomal RNA
Rfam family: Bacterial large subunit ribosomal RNA
Source: RNAcentral
AGGUAAGCUACUAAGAGCGAAUGGUGGAUGCCUUGACUGGUAAAGGCGAUGAAGGACGUACUAGACUGCGAUAAGCUACGGGGAGCUGUCAAGAAGCUUUGAUCCGUAGAUUUCCGAAUGGGGCAACCCAAUGUAUAGAGAUAUGCAUUACCUAUAUAGGAGCGAACGAGGGGAAUUGAAACAUCUUAGUACCCUCAGGAAAAGAAAUCAAUAGAGAUUGCGUCAGUAGCGGCGAGCGAAAGCGCAAGAGGGCAAACCCAGUGCUUGCACUGGGGGUUGUAGGACUGCAAUGUGCAAGAGCUGAGUUUAGCAGAACAUUCUGGAAAGUAUAGCCAUAGAGGGUGAUAGUCCCGUAUGCGAAAAACAAAGCUUAGCUAGCAGUAUCCUGAGUAGGGCGGGACACGAGGAAUCCUGUCUGAAUCCGGGUCGACCACGAUCCAACCCUAAAUACUAAUACCAGAUCGAUAGUGCACAAGUACCGUGAGGGAAAGGUGAAAAGAACUGAGGUGAUCAGAGUGAAAUAGAACCUGAAACCAUUUGCUUACAAUCAUUCAGAGCACUAUGUAGCAAUACAGUGUGAUGGACUGCCUUUUGCAUAAUGAGCCUGCGAGUUGUGGUGUCUGGCAAGGUUAAGCAAACGCGAAGCCGUAGCGAAAGCGAGUCUGAAUAGGGCGCUUAGUCAGAUGCUGCAGACCCGAAACGAAGUGAUCUAUCCAUGAGCAAGUUGAAGCUAGUGUAAGAACUAGUGGAGGACUGAACCCAUAGGCGUUGAAAAGCCCCGGGAUGACUUGUGGAUAGGGGUGAAAGGCCAAUCAAACUUCGUGAUAGCUGGUUCUCUCCGAAAUAUAUUUAGGUAUAGCGUUGUGUCGUAAUAUAAGGGGGUAGAGCACUGAAUGGGCUAGGGCAUACACCAAUGUACCAAACCCUAUCAAACUCCGAAUACCUUAUAUGUAAUCACAGCAGUCAGGCGGCGAGUGAUAAAAUCCGUCGUCAAGAGGGAAACAACCCAGACUACCAGCUAAGGUCCCUAAAUCUUACUUAAGUGGAAAACGAUGUGAAGUUACUUAAACAACCAGGAGGUUGGCUUAGAAGCAGCCAUCCUUUAAAGAAAGCGUAAUAGCUCACUGGUCUAGUGAUUUUGCGCGGAAAAUAUAACGGGGCUAAAGUAAGUACCGAAGCUGUAGACUUAGUUUACUAAGUGGUAGGAGAGCGUUCUAUUUGCGUCGAAGGUAUACCGGUAAGGAGUGCUGGAGCGAAUAGAAGUGAGCAUGCAGGCAUGAGUAGCGAUAAUUAAUGUGAGAAUCAUUAACGCCGUAAACCCAAGGUUUCCUACGCGAUGCUCGUCAUCGUAGGGUUAGUCGGGUCCUAAGUCGAGUCCGAAAGGGGUAGACGAUGGCAAAUUGGUUAAUAUUCCAAUACCAACAUUAGUGUGCGAUGGAAGGACGCUUAGGGCUAAGGGGGCUAGCGGAUGGAAGUGCU